UACGGAGGGUGCAAGCGUUAUCCGGAUUCACUGGGUUUAAAGGGUGCGUAGGUGGGUUGGUAAGUCAGUGGUGAAAUCCCCGAGCUUAACUUGGGAACUGCCAUUGAUACUAUCAAUCUUGAAUACUGUGGAGGUCAGCGGAACAUGUCAUGUAGCGGUGAAAUGCUUAGAUAUGACAUAGAACACCAAUUGCGAAGGCAGCUGGCUACACAAAUAUUGACACUGAGGCACGAAAGCGUGGGGAUCAAACAGG
This 253-nucleotide ribosomal RNA is filed under the name uncultured bacterium. RNAcentral describes it as "partial 16S ribosomal RNA". It matches the Rfam family "Bacterial small subunit ribosomal RNA", at positions 524 to 776 of the family's 1533-position model. The record is from RNAcentral.